Long non-coding RNA from Pygocentrus nattereri (red-bellied piranha), 437 nucleotides. RefSeq lists it as uncharacterized. The transcript is spliced from 3 exons. Lineage: Eukaryota; Metazoa; Chordata; Actinopteri; Characiformes; Serrasalmidae. The record is from RefSeq and is a predicted model, not a curated record.
GACAGACGUUAUGGCUCACAAGCAGAUCUAGCGCUGACUAUAUUCAGAGUCUCUCAGUCAGACGCUGGUAGAUACGACUGCAGUGGAGCUACAGUGGAGCUCAUUGUGACUAAAGAGACUCUACAUCAGACUGAGAAAGAGGGAAACACUGUCGCUCUUAAAUGUGGAAGACUAACUAAAGGCCCAGUGACCUGGAGCAGAGACACCAACGGACAGAGAGUGGACAUUCUGACCACUCAUAAUGGAGAGACGACCAAACACAUCGCUGAUCCAGACAGACGUUACAACUCAAGGAAAGAUCUAGUGCUGAUUAUAUACGGAGUCUCUCAGUCAGACGCUGGUAGAUACGACUGCAGUGGAGCUACAGUGGAGCUCAGUGUGACAUCAGGAACCGGUUCUUCCAUUUGAGUGUGUGGAAAUGAAUAGAAAUGUCCAGC